GUGUCAGCAGCCGCGGUACUACGUAGGUGGCGAGCGUUAUCCGGAAUGAUUGGGCGUAAAGGGUGAGUAGGCGGAAGAACAAGUCCAUUGUAAAAACGCAGAGCUCAACUCUGUGACUUGAUGGAAACUGUUCAUCUCGAGUACAGCAGAGGAUGGCGGAACUCCAUGUGUAGCGGUAAAAUGCGCAGAGAUAUGGAAGAACACCGGUGGCGAAGGCGGCCAUCUGGGCUGGAACUGACGCUGAGUCACGAAAGCGUGGGGAGCAAACAGGAUUAGAUACCCUGGUAGUCCACGCCCUAAACUAUGAGGAGCAGGUGUUGGCAAGAGAUUGUCAGUGCCGAAGCUAACGCAAUGACUCCUCCGCCUGGGGAGUAUGCACGCAAGUGUGAA
RNAcentral lists this ribosomal RNA (390 nucleotides) under uncultured bacterium. RNAcentral's name for it is "bacterial SSU rRNA". It matches the Rfam family "Bacterial small subunit ribosomal RNA", at positions 505 to 898 of the family's 1533-position model. The record is from RNAcentral.